CCUACGGGAGGCUGCAGUGGGGAAUAUUGGACAAUGGGGGGAACCCUAAUCCAGCCAUGCCGCGUGUGUGAAGAAGGCCCUCGGGUUGUAAAGCACUUUCAGUGAGGAAGAACGCCUGGUGGUUAAUACCCAUCAGGAAAGACAUCACUCACAGAAGAAGCACCGGCUAACUCCGUGCCAGCAGCCGCGGUAAUACGGAGGGUGCGAGCGUUAAUCGGAAUUACUGGGCGUAAAGCGCGCGUAGGUGGCUUGAUAAGCCGGUUGUGAAAGCCCCGGGCUCAACCUGGGAACGGCAUCCGGAACUGUCAAGCUAGAGUGCAGGAGAGGAAGGUAGAAUUCCCGGUGUAGCGGUGAAAUGCGUAGAGAUCGGGAGGAAUACCAGUGGCGAAGGCGGCCUUCUGGACUGACACUGACACUGAGGUGCGAAAGCGUGGGUAGCAAACAGGAUUAGAUACCCCGGUAGUC
Molecule: ribosomal RNA, 465 nt
Filed under: Vreelandella stevensii
Lineage: Bacteria; Pseudomonadati; Pseudomonadota; Gammaproteobacteria; Oceanospirillales; Halomonadaceae
Description: partial 16S ribosomal RNA
Rfam family: Bacterial small subunit ribosomal RNA
Source: RNAcentral